AAAUUGAAGAGUUUGAUCAUGGCUCAGAUUGAACGCUGGCGGCAGGCCUAACACAUGCAAGUCGAACGGUAACAGGAAACAGCUUGCUGUUUCGCUGACGAGUGGCGGACGGGUGAGUAAUGUCUGGGAAACUGCCUGAUGGAGGGGGAUAACUACUGGAAACGGUAGCUAAUACCGCAUAACGUCGCAA
RNAcentral lists this ribosomal RNA (190 nucleotides) under Escherichia coli. Its description in RNAcentral is "partial 16S ribosomal RNA". It matches the Rfam family "Bacterial small subunit ribosomal RNA", at positions 1 to 184 of the family's 1533-position model. The record is from RNAcentral. Lineage: Bacteria; Pseudomonadati; Pseudomonadota; Gammaproteobacteria; Enterobacterales; Enterobacteriaceae. RNAcentral also lists the same sequence under 1 other name.